GCCGACGUAGCUCAGAUGGUAGAGCAGCCGCUUUGUAAGCGGCUUGUCGCGAGUUCGACUCUCGCCGUCGGCUCCA
This 76-nucleotide transfer RNA is filed under the name bacterium. RNAcentral describes it as "tRNA-Thr". It matches the Rfam family "tRNA". From Rfam's summary of the family: Transfer RNA (tRNA) molecules are approximately 80 nucleotides in length. The record is from RNAcentral.